CAGCCGCGGUAAUACGAAGGGGGCUAGCGUUGUUCGGAAUGACUGGGCGUAAAGGGCGCGUAGGCGGCGAUUUUAGUCAGGCGUGAAAGCCCUGGGCUCAACCUAGGAACUGCGUUUGAUACUGGAUCGCUUGAGUGUGGGAGAGGAUGGUGGAAUUCCCAGUGUAGAGGUGAAAUUCGUAGAUAUUGGGAAGAACACCAGUGGCGAAGGCGACUCACUGGACAGGUAUUGACGCUGAGGUGCGAAAGCCAGGGGAGCAAA
This 261-nucleotide ribosomal RNA is filed under the name uncultured bacterium. RNAcentral's name for it is "partial 16S ribosomal RNA". It matches the Rfam family "Bacterial small subunit ribosomal RNA", at positions 512 to 772 of the family's 1533-position model. The record is from RNAcentral.